GAAGGCUGCAUUAUUGUGAUUAUCAUCAUCGCCAUUUUUGUUGAGCCCUCUUUCCUUUCCUCGCCAUUUCUUUUACAAUCCCCACAGCCCACACCUCUCUUUCUCUCUCUCAACCCCCUCUUACCUUUUCUGUUUGGCUGGAGAGGAAGAGAAACGGAGAAGAAUCAUCACCAGAUGGGAUCGAGCAUCAGCCGAACGAGCUCGACCUCCCAUUCCCUCCAAGCCCCUCGCCCCACCAUGAGGCGCUCUAUCUCCUCCCUCCUCAUCUGCGGCGCCUCUUCCACCCAGAUGGAAGAUUAUCCAGCUGAAUUACUGGUAAAUUCUGCAGAACAUGGUCGUAGAAAAAAGUUGAAAUUCCCAAUAAGAAAUUCUGAUUUUUCAGAGGGAAAUGGAGAUGACCUGAUCAGUAUCAAAAGUGGAAGAGUGGUCUCACCUGGAAGAUUUUUGAGCGCAAGCCAUGAUGAUCCUACUGAUGGAGCGAAAUGGGUGUCUAAAAGUAGGGAGUUGGUUCCUUCUUGUCAAUCCAUUGACAGCAAGACAUGUGAUGGAACUGCUAGUAGUUCCUAUGGAGGCCAACCAUCUCCCAUUUUUGUAUCUGGAAAUGAAAUGUCUAGUAUUGAUAAUAUGAAUGGCAUAAAUUGCAACAUGAAAGGUGACGCAUCUCGAAUUGGUCAAGGAUUCAAUAGCUCAAGCGGUGUAUAUUGUGAUGCUCUUCAAGAAUCUUUUUUGGAUGAAGUUUCAGUUGAAAAUAAUGUCUCUUCGGAAAUCAAUUACUCUAGUUCGGACUUUGGAUCUUCUUUGGUUUCUGAUUCAUCUUUGGAUUUCCAUUUAUUGAGAGACAAUAUUCAUCAGGAGGCAACACCUCAAGAUGUGGAAAGGGAACAGAUUAGACAAGCUGAGAAUCUACUUCAUGUCGACAUGGUGAGUACAUCAAAUACUUCGCCUGUUAGUUCUGCUGAAAUAAGCAGCCGUGAGACUAGAAGGAGUAGUAGAAGAUUAUUUUGGGAUGCAUUUUCAAGACGCAGUUCUAGGAGGCAUGCAGAUUCCAGAACAUUUUUGUUUUCAUCUUCUGGUUCUGAUCAUUUGAGAUCUCCAGACAGACAGCUCCUCGAUUUUAGUGGUGGCUUUAUUGAUGAUGAGUUUGUAGGAGAUUUAGGUUCUCGUGGAAGUAGAUCUCCAGGCGCUAAUGAUCAUUAUUUGAACCCCAGACUUGAGCUCUGGGAUAGACAUGGCGGUACUCUUGAUUCCACAGAUUAUCCACCCCCAGCUUGUCCCCGGGGAGUACAUGCUAAUGGGUCAUGCUUGUGCCAAACCGGUUCAUUAGCUGAAGAAUCUGGUCCACGUACUGGCAUUUCUCGGAUAGUUAUGCUGGCAGAAGCACUGUUCGAGGUACUUGAUCAAAUUCAUCAACAGCCACUGUCGCUUUCCUUGUCAGUGGCCUCAGUUCCUGCUCCAGAAUCAGUUGUUGAUUCUUUUCUGGUGAAGACACAUGGGAAGUCAGAAAAAUUGGAAUCUGCAGAUGAUGUAUCACAGUGUUAUAUAUGCCUGGCUGAGUAUGAGGAAGGAGACAAAAUACGAGUUCUUCCAUGCCAUCACGAGUAUCAUGUUUCCUGUGUGGACAAAUGGCUUAAAGAAAUACACGGUGUGUGCCCACUCUGCAGGGGAGAUGUUAGCCUGGCUUCCACAGAGGGCUAAGAUUCAUUUAAAGUGGUUAGUUUUGUACAUAUUUGUUUGAUAAGAUGGGUCUUGAAGACCAUGUACCUUGAUGAAACACUUGUCCAUUUAUCUCUGGGAUCAUUGCUGAUUCCAAUAGCAAAAUCUUGGUUGAUAGUGAAGUUAGUUAAUGAGUUGUAAAUCAGAGCAAGGAAAGACGACAGCAUUGCCAAAACUUGUAUCAUGUCUUACACUGGGAAUCUCUAUGGUUUAAGGCCAUUUCUCAGUAGCUGAAAAGUGAACCAGAUAGCGUUACUUGGGGAAUAGCUUGUUCAAGUCGACUGCCUUGUCGUCUGGAAUCCUCGUUUGGUUGGAUUCAAUAUCAUCAUCUAUGAGCAUAGAAUAAUAUCACAGGGCAAAAUGUUCAAAACCUAUCGCUUUUGAAACUGGGUUUGUUACGUUAGAUGAGCGUCUGCUUCUCUUCUAAUUUACGAGAGUUGCUUCUUUAUGUUCUACACUACAACCUACAGUAAAUUUUCAAGCAAUCAAGCUUAUAUUUGCGA
Salvia hispanica is the source of this 2216-nucleotide RNA transcript. RefSeq lists it as uncharacterized. Lineage: Eukaryota; Viridiplantae; Streptophyta; Magnoliopsida; Lamiales; Lamiaceae. The record is from RefSeq and is a predicted model, not a curated record.